This 466-nucleotide ribosomal RNA is filed under the name uncultured bacterium. RNAcentral's name for it is "partial 16S ribosomal RNA". It matches the Rfam family "Bacterial small subunit ribosomal RNA", at positions 28 to 506 of the family's 1533-position model. The record is from RNAcentral.
GAUGAACGCUGGCGGCGCGCCUAACACAUGCAAGUCGAACGAUUAAAGCACCUUCGGGUGUGUAUAAAGUGGCGAACGGCUGAGUAACACGUGGGCAACCUGCCCCUUUCAUUGGGAUAGCCACGGGAAACCGUGGAUAAUACCGAAUACUUCGAGACUUCCGCAUGGAAGACUCGAGAAAGCUCCGGCGGAGAGGGAUGGGCCCGCGGCCUGUUAGCUUGUUGGUGGGGUAACGGCCUACCAAGGCAAUGAUGGGUAGCUGGGUUGAGAGACCGACCAGCCAGAUUGGGACUGAGACACGGCCCAGACUCCUACGGGAGGCAGCAGUGGGGAAUCUUGCACAAUGGGCGAAAGCCUGAUGCAGCGACGCCGCGUGCGGGAUGAAGGCCUUCGGGUGGUAAACCGCUUUCAGCAGGGACGAGGCGAAAGUGACGGUACCUGCAGAAGAAGCCCCGGCUAACUACGU